GUGCUCGCUUCAGCAGCAUAUAUACUAAAAUUGGAAUAAUGUGAAGACUGGCAUGGCCCCUGCACAAGGAAGACACAAAUUUUUGAAGUGUUCCAUAAAUUA
This is a small nuclear RNA of Cynocephalus volans (Philippine flying lemur), 102 nucleotides long. Lineage: Eukaryota; Metazoa; Chordata; Mammalia; Dermoptera; Cynocephalidae. The record is from RefSeq and is a predicted model, not a curated record.